RNAcentral lists this ribosomal RNA (441 nucleotides) under uncultured bacterium. RNAcentral describes it as "partial 16S ribosomal RNA". It matches the Rfam family "Bacterial small subunit ribosomal RNA", at positions 338 to 795 of the family's 1533-position model. The record is from RNAcentral.
CCUACGGGCGGCAGCAGUGGGGAAUAUUGCACAAUGGGGGAAACCCUGAUGCAGCAACGCCGCGUGAGUGAAGAAGUCUUUCGGUAUGUAAAGCUCUAUCAGUAGGGAAGAAGAAAGACGGUACCUGACUCAGAAGCCCCGGCUAACUACGUGCCCGUAGCCGCGGUAAUACGUCGGGGGCCAGGGUUAUACGGAUUUACUGGGGGUAAAGGGAGCGUAGACGGCUGUGCAAGUCUGAAGUGAAAGCCCGUGGCUCAAACGCGGAACUGCUUUGGAAACUGGAUAGCUUGAGUACUGGAGAGGCAGGCGGAAUGCGUAGUGUAGCGGUGAAAUGCGUAGAUAUUAGGAAGAACACCAGUUGCGAAGGCAGCCUACUGGACGGUGACUGACGCUGAGGCUCGAAAGCGUGGGGAUCAAACAGGAUUAGAUACCCCAGUAGUC